GACAGAGGGGGCGAGCGUUGUCCGGAGUCACUGGGCGUAAAGCGCGCGCAGGCGGUCGGCAAAGUGUCGUGUGAAAGCCCCCGGCUCAACCGGGGGAGGCCAUGGCAAAUUCGGCGACUGGAGCUGCGGAGAGGCCCCUCGAAUUGCCGGUGUAGCGGUGAAAUGCGUAGAGAUCGGCAGGAAGACCAAGGGGGAAGCAAGGGGGCGGGCCGCAUGAUGACGUUGAGGCGCGACAGCGUGGGGAGCAAACCGG
Molecule: ribosomal RNA, 253 nt
Filed under: uncultured bacterium
Lineage: Bacteria
Description: partial 16S ribosomal RNA
Rfam family: Bacterial small subunit ribosomal RNA
Source: RNAcentral